This 497-nucleotide ribosomal RNA is filed under the name uncultured bacterium. RNAcentral's name for it is "partial 16S ribosomal RNA". It matches the Rfam family "Bacterial small subunit ribosomal RNA", at positions 28 to 507 of the family's 1533-position model. The record is from RNAcentral.
GAUGAACGCUGGCGGCGUGCCUAAUACAUGCAAGUCGAACGAACAGACGAGGAGCUCGCUCCUCUGACGUUAGCGGCGGACGGGUGAUUAACACGUGGAUAACCUACCUCUAAGACUGGGAUAACUGCGGGAAACCGUAGCUAUUACCGGUAAAUAUAGUGAACCGCAUGGUUCAGUGGUGAAAGUCGGUUUUUCUGUCACUGAUAGCUGGAUCCCGGCUGCAUUGUCGAGUUGUUAAGGUAACGGCUUACCAAGGCAACGAUGCGUAACCGACGGGAGAGGGUGAUCGGCCACACUGGAACUGAGAGACGGUCCAGACUCUUACGGGAGGCCGCAGUAGGGACUCUUCGGAGAUGGGCGAAAGCCUGACGGAGCAGCGCCGGGUGAGUGCUGAAGGUCUUCGGAUGGUAAAACUCUGUUAGUAGGGAAGACCAAAUGUGUAAGUAACUAUGCACGUCUUGACGGUACCUAAUCAGAAAGCCACGGCUAACUACGUG